AGGAUUCGAUUCUGGCUCAGGAUGAACGCUGGCGGCGUGCCUAAUACAUGCAAGUCGAACGCAUUACUUCGGUAGUGAGUGGCGAACGGGUGAGUAACACGUAGGUAACUUACCUCUAAGACGAGGAUAACGACUGGAAACGGUCGCUAAAACUGGAUAGGAUCAUUUGAGGCAUCUCGAAUGAUUUAAAGGGGCUUUCAAGCCACACUUAGAGAAAGGCCUGCGGCGCAUUAGCUAGUUGGUGGGGUAGAGGCCUACCAAGGCGAUGAUGCGUAGCCGGACUGAGAGGUCGAACGGCCACAUUGGGACUGAGACACGGCCCAAACUCCUACGGGGGGCAGCAGUGAGGAAUAUUGGUCAAUGGACGAGAGUCUGAACCAGCCAAGUAGCCGUGAAGGAUGACUGCCCUAUGGGUUGUAAACUUCUUUUAUAAGGGAAUAAAGUGAGGGACGUGUCCCUUUUUGUAUGUACCUUAUGAAUAAGGAUCGGCUAACUCCGUGCCAGCAGCAGC
RNAcentral lists this ribosomal RNA (511 nucleotides) under uncultured bacterium. RNAcentral describes it as "bacterial SSU rRNA". It matches the Rfam family "Bacterial small subunit ribosomal RNA", at positions 8 to 518 of the family's 1533-position model. The record is from RNAcentral.